Poecile atricapillus (Black-capped chickadee) is the source of this 5519-nucleotide long non-coding RNA. RefSeq lists it as uncharacterized. NCBI's taxonomy places the organism in Eukaryota, Metazoa, Chordata, Aves, Passeriformes, Paridae. The transcript is spliced from 3 exons. The record is from RefSeq and is a predicted model, not a curated record.
GAAGCAAAUGAGAACAAUUACUCCAUGUUAAUACCACUAGGCAAGGAGCACGCUGACUUUGCACUAAGCCUACCCUACAUUUAAAGCAGCUUAGAGGAGUACACCAGAGCUCUGCUGCCACAAGGACAGCUUGGAGGAGUUGCUAUGGAACAGUCUCCUGCCACACAAACACUCAAAUUCUCCUGAACAACAAGCUGCAUUUCCCCAAAGCUAAGAGCACUGUGAACAAGGCAGAAGGGUGGUAACUCCAAUGACUAGACAAAAAGCUGGAGCCAAUUUGCCUGGACCAGAUCUCUCUCCAGGUUCUGGGGACAUCAAUUGGUUAUUUAGUGUCUUGGGGUGACUUUAUGAUACUGUAUCUCCUAUUAUCUGCUUUAUGCCCAGAAAUGGGUCCUGUAACUUUCAGCUGGGUCUGAGAGAAGGAGGGAAUCUGGGGGAAUUUUUUUGGCAGUGAAUCACAAAUUUUAAAAGAAUUAGGAAUUUUAGAAAAGUUAAAAAUCUUAGCUAGAGAUAGACUUUGCUGAAAUUAGUUAAUGAUUAGGUUAGAAGCAGGAUUUGAGAUAAUGAAUCCCAAUUUAGGUAACAAAUUACUUGCCAUUGUAUGUUUGUUUAGUUGUGCUUAAAAUGAGAAAAAGAGAAACUGAUAAAUAGACUUAGGAAGAACACAGACCUUACAUCUGGAAACCCAUUUAAAAGUCACGAAAGGAGGAAAUUUGAGUUCUUCCAAAUGUCAUUUGUAAUGUCAACCAUUGUAAAGGUAGAAAGGUCAGAGUGAGGAAGAGUGGUUUUCCUUCAUCUUUUGAUGACCACUCAUCAAAACGACCACCUCCUUAAUUUAGGGAAUCAACCACGCAGGCGUAAUGACUUUUUAAACUCAUUACCACCUAUUUUAAUACAAAGCGGGGAACAUGAGGGGUUAGCAUUAUGAAUAUGUAUUAGUAUUUUGGAUAUUCAAGACUUUUGUAAAUAAAUAGACACUGGAAUCUUUUGUCAACUUGCAGUGCAUAUUACGGGGGCUACCCCCGCACUAGCCUGAUGCUGAAUAAACAUACAUUCUCUAACUUUAAACUGUUAGAGGGUCUUUUUGUCCAUCAACAGAUUGAUAUUGAUACUAGACCAAUAUUGAUAUUUUGGUAAAUCAGCGGUCUGUAUUCAAACACACAUCCUUUGCUGUAUUCUCUCAGGUGUGCUGUGCAGCACAAAGAGGGAGUAUAUCUUUGCUUUUAGCUAGCUUCUUUUUUGUUAUCUGAGGUAAGAAGCUUUCCCGGGAUUGCAUACAGCUUCUCCAUUGACUUCUGUGGCUUCUUCUGGAACUGUUCAGCUUUGCUCUGGUCCGAGAACAGACCAACACCGGGAGCCAGCAAGGAGGCUCUGGGAUGUCACAUUCCAGCUCCAGACCUCGGGAGGAGCCGAGCCACACCUACAGAAAGGACUCUGAAUCCACCAGCUUUCUCCACAGUGAGAAGGUUUUAAUAUUUAACAUUUUUUCCUGUGUCUGCGUGCACUCUGUGUGUGUUAAAUAAACAGCUUUUUUCAUUUUCAUCCAAGAAAUUCCUUUUGUAUCAGUGGUGGGGGAGAGUGGUGGUUUGAAAUAGCUUGGUUUUAGUUAAGAGAAAAAAACAUCAGGAACGGAAGUAAUUCUCUCUGUAAAGAACAUUACAACUUCCUCUGUGCCUGGCAAAACCAAUUGCUGGCUGGCUUUUAGAACUGAUACACCAAUUAGCCAAUUAGAGAAGCUAGAACUGUCUCUAUGAAUACUAUAUUUAAGAAAGGAGAAACCACGAAAAGGUCUCUCUUAUUUCCUGCUUUUUGCAAAAGAGUGGAGGCCCUUUCUCCCCCCCCCCCCCCUUCCCGGUAAGGCCGGGCCGAGCCCAUGUGGCCCGGCUGCCAGCGGGAGGAGGGGAAGCCCAGGCCGCGGCGGCUGCUGAAAUCCUGCCUCUUCUGAGCUCCGCCCACAGUCGUCGGGCAGGGCUGGCUCCGCUGGGCUCCGGGUCGGGCCGGGCCCCGUUCCAGCCGCAAGCUGCCGAGCCAUCCUGCCGGGGGCUGUCCCGGCGCCACGGGGCACUGUGCGGCUGAGACCAGUGAGCAGCUCUGCAGUCUGCGCAGGAAGUGGCCCCGCGGCUGGAACUAAGAGCGGCCGAGGCCAGAAAACAGUCAUGCGGCCGGAGCGGCUGCCACCAUCCUAGCCAAGCCAGCGAGAGACUUUGCGUGCCUGUCUGCUUCUAAUCUGCCGCACUGCAGACAAAAGGACAGAAAACAGUGGCCGGCACGGCUUGUGCGGUGCCGGGGAAGAUCACAUGACCAGCAGCAAGAGGCAGAACACGCAAUUCCCCGAUGCAGGGCCCGAACGAGAUUAACCCCAUCAGUGCUGUAAAAUUCCACUUGAGAACAGAUAAAACCUACAGACGCCAAUCUUCUCCCGAGUCAGAGAAAAGGAAAUGUGAAGGCACGUGAAGAAAACAACAGGGCGACACCAAGGUCAGUGAAGAAGGAGGGGCUGAAGCCCAGAAGAAAGGAGAGGAGAUGCUUCGGUUUCGGAGCUGAAAACCUUUUGCAAGCCGAGGUGAGAAUAUAAUAGACCAGAUUAUUUCCCUGUAAUUCAUAAAGCACAGGGGGGGAUGCAGCGUUCAUCCGCAGCUCAGAAGAGAACUAGAAAAUAUAGAUGUUGAAAGAAGCUGUGAUCUCACUUGAACAGAGAGAGAGAACCUUUGCUUUCACAAACAGAAGAGAACUUUUAUUUUCAGAGAUAGAACUUCUGCUUCUAUAGUAGAACGGGUCAUCCUUAAAAUUAUACCCCAGUAGCCAAAAUGACCCUCGACAGCAGUUGUGCGAAAAACUGUAAGUCAAUGGGAAGGAUUUUCAUGAAGCCAACAAGUUUUUACCGGGCGGACUGUUUAACCGUGCACUUAAAACCACGAGGAAUUUUUCUUGUGGCAUGACAAAAGAGACUCCUAUCCUUAAAUGAACUGAAGAAAGAUUCUUUUUUAGAAGUGGUAAACUGACUGAUAAACACAGGUUUUGUCUCUUUAUGUUGGCAGUGAGAAGGAAAGAGGGGCUGGGGGGAGAUAAAUGUUCUAAAGGUUUAUUUAGUUCUUAUAAUUCUUCUUUUAGUUCUGUUAAUAAAGUUUUCUUUAUAGCCUUUAAAAUUUUGAGCCUGUUUUGCCCCUAAAGCAUUUUCUCCUAAUCCUUAUCUCAACCCCAUGAGCUUUAGCUUAACUGGUUGUUUUUUUCCCCUCCUCUGUUCCAAUUAUAGCAGAGGAAGAUGAGUAGAUGAUUUUUGGGAAUGCACUGGUGUCUGGCCAGUGGUCAACCCACUACAGGGAGGGACUGCCAAAACCUGCCUUCUUCAGAGGAGAUGUUCCUUUCGUGACGUUUCCUCCUAAACUUGUCUCAAACCAAGACAUUUAGGCACUUGAGUAUCAGUAGGUAAUGUCAUUUAUAACUAUGUAGUUGUUGGCUUUUGCUAUUAUGUAUUGGCUUUUACAAAUUAUUAUUAAUCAAAACAAUUUUGAUAUAGUACAGUUUGUAAUCACUUUAACUGAUUUUGAUAUAGUAUAAUUUGUCAGCUUUUUAUGGCCAAUGCCCUGGCCCCUGUGUAGCUCGUAUCCUCAGAACAUCAUUUAUGGAUGAUAUUUUAGUUUGUGGACAGUGUGAUAAACACAUGUUAUAGUUUUGGCUUUCACAAAUAUUAAAGUGGAUGCUAUGUGUUAUACAUUAUAAUGUUAACUUUUGCAGAAGUAGCUGUAGUUGUGAAAUAACUAAUGUUUUUAUUUUUGUAACUAACUGACAAUAAUGAAAAUAACUCAGAUAUAUUUGUGAAAUAGCUGAUGUUCAUUUAAAGUACUUGUGGUUAACUUACAAUAACGGAAAUAGCUAAAACCAUCAGCAUGAUCAGAUAACAUUUAAGGAACAAAUGUAAUGAGGAUCCCUGCUACUGACCCUUCAACUAUCCAUAACUGUCACCUGCUGAAACCACAGAACAGGGGGCCGUUGUGAGGAAGUGACACACGACCCUCAAAACCACAUCCACGAUUACUGCACAUACUCUAAAAAGAUCAGUGGGAACAGUCGAGCUGCUGUUAUCACUGCCACUGCAGAGUCCAGCCUGUUACUGUUCUCUCCUACCAUAAGUGAGGCUUUUGCUUGUUGAAAGAGCGACUGUUGCACUGAGACCUUAUUAACACCCUACCUCGCUGGAAAGGACCCUCGCUGUCUAUAUACUCAGGACACCCCACAGCUCCUGCUACAGCUGCAGAGUUUGUGAUGCAUUUCGUUUGCUACCCUGGGUCUGCUCGCUUCUGCCGUUCCAGCUUGCUGCUUCCAAGGUUCCUGCUACAGCUCAUUUUGCUAUCUGGAGGGACACCAGGACCAACUGCCCUUGCAUAAGUUUGUAAAGGAAGCCCCUUUUCCAUCUCUUCCGCCGGCUGUGCCCGCCAUUACCCACGUGAGAGAGACAGCUGAGCUCGUGCUACAGCACAAGAAUUACUUCUGUGCCUGCAGCCACGACUGAAUCAUUGCACCUGCCCUGCCAGGAGCCAACAGUGCCCCUGCCGGCUGUAACCAUAACUACACCAAAAGGGGAAAGUGCCUGACAGCUGAGAGAAGGCUGUUACUGGGUUUCUGGUUUUGUUUGUUGUUGCUGCCAUUGUUGUUGUUUGUUUGCCUUGCUAUACAUAUACAUACUAGUAAAGAACUGUUAUUCUUUUUCCCAUAUCUUUGCCUGAGAGCCCCUUAAUUUCAAAGUUAUAAUAAUUCAGAGGGAAGGAGGUCAUAUUUUCCAUUCCAGGGGAGGUUCCCACCUUCCUUGGCAGACACCUGUCUUUCAAACCAAGACAGCCCUGAGCAAUCUGAUUGAAUUUCCAAGCUACCUCCCUGCUCUGGACAAACAGCUGGACCAGAUAGCCUCUGAGGUUCCCUCUCAACCUAAAUUUUUCUCUCUCACUCUCUUCCCAACUUUGCUCUUUCAGCACCUUCCCUGACCACAGGAGUGAGGAUUCCCAAGAUAAUCCAUGCAGAUAACCUCCUGGGAUAGGAGGUCACACUAUCUACAGGGAAACUGGGCAGUGGAUGUGAGCUUCUUUACAAGCCAUAUAUAUUGCAGGACCAGAACAGAAUAGAAUAAUUUCAGUUUGAAGUGACCUACAAUGAUCAUUUAGUACAACUGCAGAAAAAGAACCCAUAACAUGCUUUAAAAAUUUGUAGAAGGUGAUGGCUAAUGAGGUGUUGAAAUAAAUUCUCAGGGAUGCAGAGAAUAUCUAUACCAUCCUAAUGCUAGCCUCACUGCUAAGACACUGGGACAUUUAUAAUCCUGUAAUAACAGAUACAAGUUCCAGUAGGAGAAAACCAUCUAAAUAGCUGUAUUGCCAAAGAGAAUUCAUACACUAACAUCAGAAAAGCAGCCUCUGCUCUUAUUGCAAGCAGGGAAAACAAAACACACAAACAAGAACCAGGCCAGUAAGACAGGUGCAGUGCAGUUUGGGAGUACCUCAGCACAAACAUAACAUAAGGAGUAGAAGAAA